GAAAAAAAACAGAAAGAGAGUUGUGGAGGGUUGAUAUAUACAGUGUGGAGUCGUAUCCAGCGAAAUUCAAAACAGUUUACAGGCGGAGGAGGCGCGAUCAAGAAGAGAGUUGUGGAGGGUUGAUAUAUACAGUGUGGAGUCGUAUCCAGCGAAAUUCAAAACAGUUUACAGGCGGAGGAGGCGCGAUCAAGAAGAGAGUUGUGGAGGGUUUAUACAGUGUGGUUUCGUGGUUAUUGAUUCCUGGUAGUCUCUUUUCUUGAAUUGGUGUUUCGAUUUAAAUAAUAAAAAACAAAAAAUGGACGAAGCCGAGGUGGUGGUUAAGCCGAAGAAGAACGGUCAACUCUGCUCCCUCUGCAACCAAAGAAAGCCCGCCCUCAAAAGACCCAAAACCCUAGAACAGAUUUGUAGGGAAUGUUUCUACACUGUGUUUGAGGAUGAGAUCCACAGUGUAAUUGUGGAAAAUCAGCUAUUCAAGCCUGGGGAACGCAUUGCUAUUGGCGCUUCUGGUGGCAAAGAUUCCACAGUGCUUGCUUAUGUGUUGUCAGAGCUGAAUCGUCGGCAUAAUUAUGGCGUAGAUCUAUUUCUCUUGUCAGUUGAUGAAGGCAUCACAGGGUAUAGGGAUGAUUCACUUGAAACUGUCAAAAGAAAUGAAGUCCAGUAUGGACUACCACUAAAAGUGGUGUCUUACAAGGAACUGUACGGAUGGACCAUGGACGAAAUAGUGAAGAUUAUUGGGUUAAAGAACAAUUGCACAUUUUGUGGUGUUUUCCGUCGCCAGGCCCUUGAUCGUGGUGCCGCAUUGCUGAAAGUAGACAAGCUAGCUACUGGGCAUAAUGCAGAUGAUAUUGCUGAAACAGUUCUUUUAAACAUAUUACGAGGUGAUAUUGCUAGGUUGAGUCGAUGCACAUCUAUAACCACUGGAGAAGAUGGACCAAUUCCAAGAUGCAAGCCAUUUAAGUAUACCUAUGAAAAGGAGAUUGUUAUGUAUGCAUAUUUUAAGAGGCUGGACUACUUCUCCACUGAAUGCAUUUAUUCCCCAAAUGCUUAUCGUGGCUUUGCACGUGAGUUCAUCAAAGAUUUAGAAAGGAUCAGACCUAGAGCCAUACUUGACAUCAUUAAAUCAGGUGAGGAUUUCAGGAUCUCCACGUCUACAAAAAUGCCAGAGCAGGGAAUCUGUGAACGCUGUGGUUAUAUUUCUAGCCAGAAAUGGUGUAAAGCUUGUGUCUUGCUCGAGGGAUUGAAUCGUGGUUUGCCAAAGCUGGGCAUUGGCCGAAGUAGAGGUCUCAACAAUGAUCGUAAAAAGGAUAUGAAACAAAGUAACGGAACUGAAAAUAUUGGGAGCAAACAAUGUGGAACAUUAGACUUCUGAUGGAUGUUGUUAUGGAUAACUUCUGCUUGGUGAACUUUAAGAUGGUGGAGUACUCUCUGUACUUUGUAAUUGUAGGCUCUUAUGGUCCGAAUCACAAAUACAUUAAUUGGGUGUGAAAACUGAAAAGUGUAACUGUUUAAUGUGCCUAGUUAUCACUUGAAACAUAUCCUUGAAGUAUUCCUUGUUUUGAUGGAAAGAUGACAUCAUGGCAACAGAAGUAGAGACUAUCAAGCCGUCUUCCCCAACUUCCCACCACACCACUUGAGAACUCACAAGCUCUCCUUUCUGGAUCAGCUCCAUCCAACCAUCUUCAGCCACGUUGCCUUUUACUAUCUCACAGACACCCCUAUUGUUGCCAAUGCAUUGAAUCAGUUGAAGCAAUCACUAUCAAAAGCCUUGACUCACUUUUACCCUUUUGCCCGAAGAAUCUAGGCUGACAAACUUUCCAUCGAAUGUAACGACUAGGUUUCUCAGAAGCCCAAGUGAUGAAUUGCCAUCUCUUGGACUUUCUCAGCGACCCUGAUCUCAACUUGUUGAAUCAUUUCUAUCUGUGCCAUCCCGCCAACAUCGAGUCAUAUGCAAGAGUUCGUCCGGCUAUGAUUCAGGUCAAUAUGUUCAAUUGCUCUGUAAUUGUUAUCGGAAUGUGCCUUUUGCAUAAAGUUCUUGACAGUAUAUCAACCAGUGCAUUUCUCAAAGGCUGGGCUGCUUUUGCUUGGGGGUGUUUCGAAACUGUACAUAACGCAGCAACUCUGUUCCCACCAAAUGAUCAACUGCUGAUGGACUCCCUAGCUAUCCUGGGAAGGUCCAUGGUCAAAACAGAGAAUUCUGUUAUGAGGGGAGUCCUAUUCAAAUCAUCAGCAAUGGCAACACUCAAGAGCAAAGCUAGUGGCUCAGGCAUGACGAAUCCCUCUCUGGUUGAAGUUGCGACUGCCUUUGUAUGGAAAUGUGCAAUGUUGUCUGCUCAGAAAGCAAAUCGUGGUCUCCAGAGGCCAUCUGUACUGUCCCAUGCUGUGGAUUUACGGAGACGAAUGGUGCCACCAUUGCAGGAAUACUCCAUAGGGAAUCUACUUUGGAUACUAUGCACGAAAUGCAAGGCGGACAAUGAGAUAGUGCUACAUUCACCGAUUCGAAAGCUGAGGGAAACAAUCACAGAAAUCUAUGGCGAUUUCGUGGAAAGAUUGCAGAGUGGUCAAGGGUUGUGUUUGGUUGCUAAGAGUGUGAAAGAGAUGUGUAAGUUGUGCUCCGAAGGUCCAGCGGACUAUUUUGGGUUCACCACUUGGUCCAAGUUUGACUCUCAUUUCUUCCUCAAAGAGUUGAAGAACGGCGAGGAGAGGAACAAGGACCACGAAGUUUAACCAGGGAAGGAUCUUAAGGAUUCCAAUCCUCUAUUUCAGAUUUGGAUGUAUUCUGCUGCUACAUUUGCGGAAGUUCGAAUAAUGAUGAAGUUAACUGCUUAUUGGAUUGUGGUAGUCAACGCUUAAUUAAGUGGUUAAAAAGUUGAAAGCUCCAGUCGAUACUCGAAACCAACUUCUCCUCUUUUCGGCGGGAUCCAAGUCUCAAACUCAAUUGACGGUCUCCUUCGAUUCACAGCUCUCUCUCUCUCUCUCUCUCUCUCUCUCUCACAGAGCUAGGAUCAGAUAUUGAUUGUGUUGUGGUAGCACUUGGGUUUCAAAGUAUGUCUGUUUUAUUUGUUUUUAAUGGCGAUUGAGAAGCUUUUUAAAGAUGAAGCUACUGAGCGAGCCAGAAUGGCAUCUUUUGUCGGUGCAAUGGCAAUUGCUGACUUGGUGAAGACGACCUUAGGACCUAAGGGAAUGGAUAAAAUUUUACAAUAAACAGGCGGGGGACACAAUGUUACUGCCACAAAUGAUGGUGCUACAAUCUUAAAGUCCCUUCAUAUUGAUAACCCAGCUGCUAAAGUCCUUGUUGGCAUUUCAAAAGUUCAAGAUGAUGAAGUUGGAGAUGGGACGACUUCAGUAGUUGUUUUGGCCGGGGAGCUUUUGAGGGAAGCAGAAAGAUUUCUAGCUACAAAUAUUCAUCCAAUGACAAUAAUCUCAGGUUAUCGAAUGGCUGCUGAGUGCGCUCGCUAUGCUUUGCUGCAGAAGGUGAUGGAUAAUAAAGAGGAUGCAGAGAAAUUCAAGGAAGACUUGAUGAAGAUUGCAAUGACUACUUUGAGUUCUAAAAUGCUCUCCCAGGACGAGGAGCAUUUUGCAAACCUGGCUGUGGAUGCUGUUAUGAGGCUACAGCACAAACUUGGAGGCCAUUAAGAUUAUUAAGAAUCCUGGAGGAUCACUAAAGG
This is a non-coding RNA of Camellia sinensis, 3665 nucleotides long. NCBI's taxonomy places the organism in Eukaryota, Viridiplantae, Streptophyta, Magnoliopsida, Ericales, Theaceae. The record is from RefSeq and is a predicted model, not a curated record.